This 388-nucleotide long non-coding RNA is filed under the name Malus domestica (apple). RNAcentral's name for it is "long non-coding RNA (MDOM_LNC018786)". The record is from RNAcentral. Lineage: Eukaryota; Viridiplantae; Streptophyta; Magnoliopsida; Rosales; Rosaceae.
GAUUUCAAUGUCUAAUUUUAUGUAUCUUUGUUUUGCAAGUAUGAGGAACUAAACCCCCCUUGGCUAGGGGGGGAUUCAAAACCAUGUUUAUACUUGCUAUAUGAUUUGAUUACUUCUAAUUGCGUUUCAUAAGUUGUGAAUUCAAUUUACUUAUCUAUGUGAAUUACAUUGAUUUGUGUGUGUUGGUUGAGAGUGCACGCUUAAUUAUCAUGCAUAAAUUGAAUGCUAGGAUAUAAGAAAAUUUCACCUAAUCGUUAUGGACUUACAUUCACAAGUAGUAAAGGUUGAUGAUCUCAAUCGCGUUAAGUAAAUUCUUGGAAUAAGUUUCAUGCAAUCAUAGUAACAAGUGCUUCGUCAAUGCUUAUGGUUUUCAUAGAACUUAAUGAUU